AAAAGGCAUUUGAAGCGUAAAUCCUUUUUAAAGCUUUUUGUAAAAGCUUUAAAAAGAUUGCAACGGAAAGCGGGAAACAGC
Molecule: small RNA, 81 nt
Filed under: Flavobacterium caeni
Lineage: Bacteria; Pseudomonadati; Bacteroidota; Flavobacteriia; Flavobacteriales; Flavobacteriaceae
Description: Flavo-1 RNA
Source: RNAcentral